RNAcentral lists this ribosomal RNA (305 nucleotides) under uncultured bacterium. RNAcentral describes it as "bacterial SSU rRNA". It matches the Rfam family "Bacterial small subunit ribosomal RNA", at positions 334 to 654 of the family's 1533-position model. The record is from RNAcentral.
UUUGCCUACGGGACGCAGCAGUAGGGAAUUUUCGUCAAUGGGCGCAAGCCUGAACGAGCGAUGCCGCGUGAAGGAAGAAGGCUUUCGGGUUGUAAACUUCUUUUAAGAGGGAAGAGUAGAAGACGGUACCUCUUGAAUAAGCCACGGCUAACUACGUGCCAGCAGCCGCGGUAAUACGUAGGUGGCAAGCGUUGUCCGGAUUUACUGGGUGUAAAGGGCGUGUAGCCGGGCCGGCAAGUCAGAUGUGAAAUCCCAAGGCUCAACCUUGGAACUGCAUUUGAAACUGUUGGUCUUGAGUAUCGGAG